CCCCNNCCCCCCCGCAUCCCUUCGGGGAGGGGAGGGACCAUCGCGGGGCGGAUGUUGGCCUCCCGUGCGCCUCUGGCUCGCGGUUGGCCUAAAAAAGAGUCUCGAGCGACGCCGCGUCACGGCUUGGCGGUGGUAGAGAAAGCCUCGUGCUCCCUCGUGCGCGCGUCGCUCGCUCGCGGCUCACGGACCCAACGAUCGAUCGAUCGAGAUGCGACCCCAGGUCAGGCGGGACCACCCGCUGAGUUUAAGCAUAUCAAUAUGCGGAGGAAAAGAAACUAACAAGGAUUCCCCUAGUAACGGCGAGCGAACCGGAAA
Molecule: ribosomal RNA, 315 nt
Filed under: Moringa sp. M12
Lineage: Eukaryota; Viridiplantae; Streptophyta; Magnoliopsida; Brassicales; Moringaceae
Description: eukaryotic LSU rRNA
Rfam family: Eukaryotic large subunit ribosomal RNA (bases 212-315)
Source: RNAcentral